RNAcentral lists this transfer RNA (75 nucleotides) under Clostridia bacterium. RNAcentral describes it as "tRNA-Met". It matches the Rfam family "tRNA". Rfam says of the family: Transfer RNA (tRNA) molecules are approximately 80 nucleotides in length. Their secondary structure includes four short double-helical elements and three loops (D, anti-codon, and T loops). Further hydrogen bonds mediate the characteristic L-shaped molecular structure. tRNAs have two regions of fundamental functional importance: the anti-codon, which is responsible for specific mRNA codon recognition, and the 3' end, to which the tRNAs corresponding amino acid is attached (by aminoacyl-tRNA synthetases). tRNAs cope with the degeneracy of the genetic code in two manners: having more than one tRNA (with a specific anti-codon) for a particular amino acid; and 'wobble' base-pairing, i.e. permitting non-standard base-pairing at the 3rd anti-codon position. Lineage: Bacteria; Bacillati; Bacillota; Clostridia. The record is from RNAcentral.
UGCGGGGUACAUCAGCGAUAGAUGGUCUGGCUCAUAACCAGAAGGUCACGGGUUCGAAACCCGUCCCCGCUACCA